UGGGGAAUAUUGCACAAUGGGCGAAAGCCUGAUGCAGCGACGCCGCGUGGAGGAAGAAGGCUUUCGAGUCGUAAACACCUUUCGGGAGCGAAGAAGGGGGCGCAAGCCUCUUGACUUUAACUUCAGAAGAAGCACCGGCUAACUCCGUGCCAGCAGCCGCGGUAAUACGGGGGGUUGCUAGCGUUGUUCGGAAUUACUGGGCGUAAAGCGCAGGUAGGUGGUUUAUUAAGCAGAAUGUGAAAUCCUCAGGCUCAACUUGAGAACUGCAUUCUGAACUGGUAGACUUGAGUAUGGAAUGGGGAAACAGAAUUCCAGGUGGAGGGGUGAAAUCCGUAGAGAUCUGGAAGAAUACCGGUGGCGAAGGCGGUUUCCUGGUACAUAACUGACACUGAGAUGCGAAAGCGUGGGGAGCAACAGGAUUAGAUACCACGGUAGU
Molecule: ribosomal RNA, 436 nt
Filed under: uncultured bacterium
Lineage: Bacteria
Description: bacterial SSU rRNA
Rfam family: Bacterial small subunit ribosomal RNA
Source: RNAcentral